GGAAUAUUGGGCAAUGGGCGAAAGCCUGACCCAGCAACGCCGCGUGAGUGAAGAAGGCCUUCGGGUUGUAAAGCUCUGUUAUGUGGGACGAAGGAAGUGACGGUACCACAUAAGGAAGCCCCGGCUAACUACGUGCCAGCAGCCGCGGUAAUACGUAGGGGGCGAGCGUUGUCCGGAAUGACUGGGCGUAAAGGGCGUGUAGGCGGCUCUAUAAGUCUGGAGUGAAAGUCCCGCUUUCAAGGUGGGAACUGCUUUGGAUACUGUAGAGCUUGAGUGCGGAAGAGGUAAGUGGAAUUCCCAGUGUAGCGGUGAAAUGCGUAGGGAUUGGGAGGAACACCAGGGGCGAAGGCGACUUACUGGGCCGUAACUGACGCUGAGGCGCGAAAGCGUGGGGAGCGAACA
Molecule: ribosomal RNA, 402 nt
Filed under: uncultured bacterium
Lineage: Bacteria
Description: bacterial SSU rRNA
Rfam family: Bacterial small subunit ribosomal RNA
Source: RNAcentral